Rhineura floridana is the source of this 2479-nucleotide long non-coding RNA. RefSeq lists it as uncharacterized. The record is from RefSeq and is a predicted model, not a curated record. The transcript is spliced from 3 exons. Lineage: Eukaryota; Metazoa; Chordata; Lepidosauria; Squamata; Rhineuridae.
AAAGACAGGAAAAAAUCAGACGUCAGAAUGAAGAUGACUUAGCCAAAUUGCAACCAAAGAAUGACUUUAGUUUGAGGAAUAGGUAUCUCUCCAGAUUAGGUGCUCAGCUGCCAGACAACUAUGUUUGCCACUUAUCUGCACUGGCACACAGAAGUGUGUUGAAAUAGCACAAUUUUGUCAAGAUAUGGAAAUGCAGUGUGAAAUUUUAUGCAACACAGGACCUCACUCUUCCGUAGCAGAGAGCUGCACAUACAGCAUGAAAAACAGAAACAUAUCAUAUGGAAAGCGGGAUUGGACCAAGAUGAAGGAGGUGUGAAAAUUGGAGGGAGAAAUAUCAAUAAUUUAAGGUAUGCAGACAAUACCAUACUACUAGCAGAAACCAGAAAUGAUUUGAAACGAAUGCUGAUGAAAGUUAGAGGAAAGCACAAAAGCAGGACUACAGCCGAAUGUCAAGAAGACUAAAGUAAUGACAACAGAAGAUUUAUGUAACUUUAAAGUUGACAAUGAGGACAUUGAACUUGUCAAGGAUUAUCAAUACCUCAGCACAGUCAUUAGCCAAAAUGGAGACAAUAGUCACGAAAUCAGAAGAAGGCUAGGACUGAGGACGGCAGCUAUGAGAGAACUAGAAAAGGUCAUCAAAUGCAAAGAUGUAUCACUGAACGCUAAAGUCAGGAUCAUUCAGACCAUGGUAUUCCCGAUCUCUAUGUAUGGAUGUGAAAGUUAGACAGAGAAAAAAGCGGAUAAGAGAAAAAUCAACUCAUUUGAAAUGUGUUGUUGGAGGAGAGCUCUGCGGAUACCACGGACUGCAGAAAAGAAAUAAUUGGGUGUUAGAACAAAUUAAACCAGAACUAGUACUAGAAGCGAAAAAGAUGAAACUGAGGUUAUCAUACUUUGGACACAUAAUGAGAAGACAUGAUACACUAGAAACCGCUAUAAUGGUGGGAAAAACAGCAGGGAGUAGAAAAAGAGGAAGGCCAAACAAGAGAUGGAUUGAUUUCAUAAAGGAAGCCAUGGACCUGAACUUACAGGAUCUGAACAGGGUGGUUCAUGACAGAUGCUAUUGGAGGUCACAGAUUCAUAGGGUUCCCAUAAGUUGUAAUCGACUUGAAGGCACAUAACAAAAGGAAGAGAGUGCCUUUGAGAAGGUCAAGGAAUUUGUGAUCAGUACUUAGAUCAAGCUCGCAAAUCUUAACACAAAAAUCUACUGCUGAUGUGUCUCUCCCACCCCCCCAGUUCUUUUUCAGCAACCAAAUUUGUGGUGUAGGUGAAAAAGCUUUCUAGUUAUUGCUGCUGUUGGACAUUUGGGAGUCAGAAACACUUGCUGAUCUAUUGCAAAGUCAUCCAGAGAUCUACCAGUAGAUCCUGAUCUAAUUAUGAAGAGGUUAAGAUGAAAACAGUGUAAAAUGUUAUGCUUGCUUCUGUAAAUCCCCUUUUAACUUAUUUAUUUACCUAUCUAUGCUGCUGAACCCUAACCCCUUCAGCCCCAGCCGGCAUGGCCAGUACUCAGGGAUGAUGGGGAGCUGCACUCCAACGACAUCUGGAGGACCACAUGUUCUCCACUCCUGCCUUAAAGGGUUCUGAAUACAAAGGAGAAAAGUGUUUAUCUUAGUCCCAGGAAAAAAGGGGUUUUUUUUGUAUUUAUUUUAACAACCAUUACACAAUAAAGGAGAAAAGAGGGGGAGGGGAAUGAAUAUUACAAGCUGAACAAUACAGAAUAAAUAGUUACAGAUAGAGUAACUAUAUAUACAAUGGAAGAAAGAGAACAUUAAACUAUAGACAUAUACUGUGGCUAAUCAAACAAUUCCUAAUAAAAAUGGUGUAUUCAGUAAGAAGAACAACUGUGCAGCUUUUAAUCCUUGGACCCACAGGAACAUAGAAGUUGCCUUUAUCAAGCCACCUCAUUGGUCCAUUUAGCUCAGUAUUGUCUAUGCUGACUGGCAGUGGCUCUCCAGGCUGGUCUGUAGCCGGGAAGCGGCAAAUGGAGGCACUGUCCAACUAGAACUGUACUUUGCCCUACUAGGAUUUUUUUUGGAGGGGUUGUCUCUUUGAUUUGUGACAUGACAGACAAUGACAACCUCCAUUUAAAGAACACCCCCACCUGGAAGAGCUCCCAAAGUCUGAUCACUCAAAACUUUCCCUGACUAAAGGGUGGAUUUUUCAUUAUCACAAUCACCCUAUCACUGGAGUGAUCCUGGAAAAACCAGCCUGUAUGACCCUUGAAGAGUUAAAUAUUAGCACUUUGUAUUAUGGGCUAGAGUGGAUUUUCCUUUGCUCUGCUUUUCAGUUGUGUUCUGUGUACAGCCAGCAAUAAAGAAGCAUGUUACUAUAUUGAUUAGAGCAGGAUUGGGUGCUUAUUCCUAAAGGGUGAAAUACAGAGAUAACUUAAAGUGAUCUGAAGAAAUGGCUACCCUAAGUUACCCUUUACUUUUUUAAAGCACUCACUGUACUCACAGUCAUAAUGGCUUUUUUCUUCUUAUCC